ACAGUCAUUUCACGUUGAAAUACCAGUACCCAUACGAUUACCGAAGUUAAGCAACGUUGAGCCUGGUCAGUACCUAGAUGGGUGACCGCUUUGGAAUACCAGGUACUGUAAU
Non-coding RNA from Acanthosepion pharaonis, 112 nucleotides. The record is from the annotation of a GenBank genome assembly. Lineage: Eukaryota; Metazoa; Mollusca; Cephalopoda; Sepiida; Sepiidae.